Molecule: long non-coding RNA, 708 nt
Organism: Hyposmocoma kahamanoa
Lineage: Eukaryota; Metazoa; Arthropoda; Insecta; Lepidoptera; Cosmopterigidae
Exons: 3
Source: RefSeq, a predicted model, not a curated record
ACACCGUUGAAGUUAUUUUUGUUAAUAUUUCGGCGCGAACGCAUCGUUCAUUCUCGCGCGUUCAUGUACCUUCCCCCCGCGCUCGUCAGUACCGCGUGAGCCACCGGCGACGUCACAGGUGCCCGCGGUUAGCCAAGGUGAAUAAUGGCUGCUAAUGACGAGCUUAUUGCUAGGUGGUUAGAAGAAGUUCCGUCAGAUGAAGAGGACCUGGUAAAUGGAGUUUUUAGUGAUGUUGAAGAUGAUGUUGGUGACGGCCACGUCCUAGAAGAAAUCAGCGGCUCCGAUUCUGAAAUUGAAGAACAUUACAACACAAUAUUGUACUGGAAAAAGAAGGUGUAAAGCCAGAGUACAGAACGGCUAUAAACGCUUCUUCUACUCCACUUGAUAUCUGGAGUAAAUUUUUUACUGAUGAUAUUUUGAAUAAAAUUGUACAACACACCAACCAAAAGAUUCGCGAAAUAAGACCGAAAUACAAUAAGCAAACUAAUGUUCAAGAUAUAGAUUUGAUAGAACUAAAAGCAUUCAUUGGAUUACUUUUCUACACUGCCAUAUUCAAAGAAAAUAGGGAACAUUAUACAUCAUGGUAUAAGACGGAUGGUAGCGGCAGAGAAAUAUACAGGUGUAUCAUGAGUAAAAGUCGUUUUGAAGUUUUACUAAACACUAUACGCUUUGAUGAUGCUACUACAAGAGCGGCACGGCGAGAAACUG